AGAAAUGUCCUCGCCGGGUUACGGUAACUUAAUCGGGUGCGACCAAAAGCCCCGUUUAAUGCCGGUAUCGGGUAGAAUUCCACCGUGUCCAAGUUUUGCGACAUAUAUAAACUUGUUUAACCUUUCAUUUGAAGCUUUUUCUCUCUCUCACACUACUCUCUCUCUAACCUCUCUCCUAAAUCCAAGUUUAAGGGUCCAAAACUCAAUUUUAAGGCCUCAAAUACCUAAGGUACCUUCUUAAACUUAAUGUAUAGAAUAUUUGACUUCCAAAUUCGGGAUUUAAUCAGGAAAUAAGGCCUUGAAUGUGAGUUUAUGGCCUUGGUAGAAGCUUAGGCCGUAAACACAUAGUUAAGGGGUUUUUAAGCCCUAAAACCCUUCCAAACCACAACUAGANUUAGAUAUGGCUAAAUGACUUCAUGGAAUGGACUUAAAACAUUUUAGACAUGGAUUUUGAGGGAUUUGAAGGAGUUUACGGCGAAGCACAUGCUUGGGCCGGUAACUCAUAUAUAUGGGCUUUUUAUGACCUUAAACCCUUCCAAAACACUAAUAAGGCUUAGAUAUGAAUUUUAGAAUAUUGGUUUUAGCCAUAGAACACCUUAACCACAUUAUUUGAAGGAUAAUUGAGAGUUUACAGCCAAGACUUAUGCUUGGACCGUAAAACCUUCAUUUUGGGGUGUAAACUCCUUUAAAGGUGUUACAAAGGCACUUUAACACCCUUAAAGCCUUAGAAUAAUUUUUAGAAGUGCAUACAAACAAGUUUUUGGCCUUAAAACAUAAUGAAUCACACUUUAGGAGAGUUUACGGCCAUGAGGGGGGUCUCAUAGGCCGUAAACUCCAAAAACACCUCAAAAGUCCCAUAAAAAUUCAUGUAAGGCCUUGGAACAAUUUUAGCAAUCACAUGUGAUUUGUUUGGAAUCAAUAACACAAUUAUUCAUGGGUAUAUAGGAUUUUACCGCCAUGAGACCCAUGCUAGGCCAUAAACUACCUUAAGUAUGUCCAUUGGUGUCUAAAAUUCAUUCCAAGCCCUUAAACCAAACCUAGAAAUUUUCCCCUUAAGUGUUUCAAGCCAAGUUGCACCAUAAAUCUCCCCACCAUGAGUUUACAGCCGUAAAAUCAUGACGAGGGGGUCAUUAGGGCCAUAAACUCCCUAAAGAGUUUACUCUUGAAGUCCCAAUUCAAUAUCCUAGCUAUAUGUGUCCCCAAACGCCACCCGGGUCCCUCCAAACACUUGUAAUGGGGUGUUUCCGCGACUAAAAGUGUUUGUCGCUUACAAUCAAAUAAGCUAAGUCCUAAUUAGAUACAAAUGUGUAUAUUUGCAUUAUACUUAGUAACCUCAUGCGUUUGCAAGCCCCGAACCAACAUUUAACAUCCUAAAUCGUCAUGUUUCUCGUCCGGUGAGUUCAUACCCUUACGCUUUUUCCGUGUUUUUCAAUGUUUUCAGGGGGGAAUACAAGCAAACUAUAACUGUUUUCAAAACAUAACAUUGAUGUGUUUCAAAUAAUAUCUGGCAAAUUUAUAAACACUUUUACUCCUUAUGUAUUAUGCUGAGCAUAAGGGAUGAUUUAUCAACUACAACUAAAUGGAUUUUAGUUAAGAAAAUAACCAAACUAAUCAAAUUAUUAUGGGAAUAAUUUGGGGGUUCUUUAGUUCUCGUUUUAUCAUGUACUGAUAUGUGUAUAAAGUUAUUAGAUAAACUAUGUCUGAUUUAGUUUAUCUCUGUAUCAUUUGAAUGUAUUGCCAAAUAGUUUCAUUGUAUGUAUCUAUAUUCACUGUAUUAUGUUUCAUAAUCUUUUGAAUGUUUGAUACCGUAUGAGAGCCUUGUGAAUAGUUUAGUACUAGUUUGUGAGUUAGUCACUACCCUUUAUGGAUGAUCAGUAAAUCCUCCCCGGAAGUGUAACCAGAGUCUCCUGGAGGGAGAGCGAGGAAUUUGUGAAUAGAUCUAUUCGGGACUGACAAUCCCACACCUUAACUGCUAGCUACAGUCAAGCGGGCACGCCUGGGGUGACAAAUUCUGGAUAUCGUCCGACGUCUGACAAGCGUCAAGGAGUUCUUGUUUUCGUAUCAGCAUGGUUACCCGACUCACAAUAUGUAUUAAUAUAAGUUUAUUCACGGCUUUGGUUUUGGAGAUAUAUAUCUAGUACGGGAUGGUAAUCCCAUGGUCUGUAGUCUAUAAGUUUCAUAUCUAUUGUUGGAUGUUAUUCCUAUGGUUAGAAUCUAUAUCUAGUUCGGGAUGGUGAUCCCAUGGUUUUAUCAAAACAUCUUAUAUCUAGUUCGGGAUAGUAAUCCUAUGGUUUUAUUAAAUUAUCUUGUAUCUAGCCCGGGAUGAUAGUCCCAUGGUAUUAAAUCUAUAUGUAUUACGGUAUGUCAAUCCCAAGGCUUUCAAACUAUUUUUCCAUCUACAGUUCACGUAUAUUAAAGUAUUUUAUAUCGAAUUCGGGAUAGAAAUCCCAAGAUUUUCAAUAUAUAGUUUUGUGUAUUAAACUAUACUAUGUGAUAUUAAAUCGGUCUUCUAAUUUGGAAGAUAUGGGAUUUUCCUGGGGUAACGUAUAACGCGUAAUUGAACUGUAAUGAAGGAUAACUAAACUGUUUUACAUAAGAAAAUAUGGGAUUUUCUUGGAUAACAAACCUUUUCGGAAAACUAAAGGAAACUGGUACAUUUUUCAGCAAACAAACAUCUGAUGAACUCACAAGCUUUAUGCUGAUUUUCAAACCGCUUGUAUUCUCAGGUCCACGUUAGACAGGUACACGCCGAUAUCUUUUGGAGAAGACGGGGUGCUCAGAAGACUCGUCCUAACUUUUGUUCAUAUGAUAUAUAUGUAUAACAUUUGUACAAUUUACUUUUGAAACAAAUGUAAACUUUCAAAUAUAUGUAAUGUAAUGGUUGUUUACUGUGAUUACUAUGUACAUUGGAUUUGAUACUCAACGUGGAGUCAACCCCGGGAACGUUUCCGCCUUUGGUUUUCGGGGUGUGACAGAUUGGUAUCAGAGCCCUUGUUUAUAGUGAACAGAGUAUACCAAACCUUACAUGGUAUAAAACUAUAAACAUUAAGGGGCCUAAGUGCUCUAAACUAAAAGUAUCCUACAUAAUAUAAGUAUUUUCAAAAGUAUUUAAGUAUGCUGAGCCGUCGAGAUCCGUAACUACAAGUAGAACAAAACAUAAGUAAAUGGGUGUUGUACGCUGCGGUUAAACCUGGGCAGUUAUGUAGUCGUGUCUAGGGUCAAUAUAGCCUGGCCAACUAUAUUCAUUCAAGACACGGCCAACAUGUGCUUGGGAGUGACUGUGGUAUGCGGCAUACCUAAAACUUACCCAAUACCCCAAACAACGAGUCGUCGUUGCAGUGAAUCAUGAAAUACUAUGGGAGUAUUUCUCGAUUCAAUCCUUUGUAGAAAAUCCUCAUAUACGCGUUGCUCCUUGAUCAUUCCUCUAGAGAUAAAAUAUUCUAUCUUGAUAACUCUUUCCUGCUUUAUCGCUUAGUAUGAUGCUAUAUUUGUCUUGAUGAGAUAUCCCCUGUUCCAUAUCUCUUGAUUCGAUUCAGAGGACUUAUGAUCCUCUCUUUCCUGAUCUUUUUAGAUCACGAUGCCUCCAAGAAAGAGACCCAACUCUAAGAACACCAACAACCCUCUGCCACCACCUCCUCCUGAAUUUGACCUUGUGAUGUUCCAGGCAGCUGUCAAUGCCGCGGUGGCAGCUGCUAUGUUUCAAAGUAACUCGGAUGGUUCCGGUGGUACUCAAACCCAAAACCCAGAGAACAGUCAGGGACACCAAAAAGGGGGUUCCUAUAAGGACUUCCUGAAAGCGAAACCCACAUCCUUUGAUGGCACCAGAGGUGUCAUUUCCCUCACCCGAUGGUUCGAGAAAAUCGAAUCAAUCUUUGAAAUAUGCGCCCGCGCGGAGUCUGACAAAGUAAAUUUCACCGCCUACACCUUCCUUGAUAAGGCCCUGACUUGGUGGAACAGCCGAGUCAAAUCUUUAACUCUACCUGUAGCGAAUGCUAUGGGUUGGGAAGCUAUGAAGGAGCUUCUACUCGCAGAAAAUUGCCAUCGGGGCGAACUCCAGAAGCUAGAACACGAACUCUGGAACCUAAAGUUGAAGGGUUCCGACAUAGCCUCUUACACUUCAAGAUUCGACGAUCUGGCGUUACUCUGUUCGGGAAUGGUUACCCCGAAGAAUAAAAAGAUUGAGAGGUUAAUCUGGGGGUUGACCCAACCAACAAAAGGGAAUGUCUUGGCUGUGAAGCUAGACACCUAUGACAGCGCUAAAUGUCUUGCGCAAAUUCUGAUCGAUCACGAAGACAACUCUGAUGAGGAGGCUACCACUCCCGAACCGGUCACAAAUGGAGGUGGAAGUAAAAAGAAAUUUUGGAAUAAGUGGAAGGCUCAGAGUACGCAAGGGUCUUCUAAGAAACAGCAAAUAGUAGCAGUUGAUGCUGCUACUACCCCUCUUGCUGUUUCAGCUGUCGGUUCCACGGCCCAAACUCCUACCAGUGGAUACACUGGUACCCUUCCUUGGUGUGAUAAGUGCAGCUACCAUCACCGCAUUCCUGGUCCAUGUCGCGAAAGGAUCUGUGACAACUGUGGCAAGAAGGGCCAUCUUGCUCGAACUUGCAGAAAACCAGCCAAAUCAAUGAACCAAUCAUCCGGAACGGGAAUCAGUCCAGCCUGCUACAAUUGUGGCGAAGUAAGGCACUUCAAAAGAAAUUGCCCCAAAGCAGCUACAACCGCUGAUCCCACUGUCGCAGCAGGUAUACUUCUCUUUGAUAAUUCUUAUACAUGCAACUCUUUAUGAUUCUAGUACCAGAAGGGAAACUUUUCACGAAAUACUUUGAUGCUAUGUUGGACAUGUAAUGACCGAGUCUCAUUCAUCUUGUUAACCUUUAGUUUCAAAAGGGUCGCUAGUCUAGAUCUUUUCCCCGACCCGUCUCUCGUGAUCUUCGACAUCAAACCUUCGUAUCAUUUCAUGCCUUAAAGCUCAAAAGUUUUUCCCGAUAUGAAUUAUCACGCAUCCCUCGUUUCUGUGUUCAUUAAGAAAUGGGAAGUCAGCAGCUAUUUCCUCUAAAUGUCUUUCCCGAAGAAUUCCCGAAAAUUCCUUUCGAACAUUUUAGCUUGGUUCCGCAUCGGCUUAAUUUCUGGAUCUACCUCGUGACCGAACGUCAGUGUGAAUGACGUGUUCAAAAUGGUGACCAAGAACUGAUAUGAUCACUUCAGAUUAGUAGUGGUAUCCUUUCGAUCAAGUAGCCAAGCAAAGUAGCCGUUAGCGUGUACUUCUCCAAAGUGUAAGGCAAUAGGGAAAUUGUCGGCACUAAAAAUACCCAUAGAAACCUGUUGAUUCUUGGGUCCCAUCGACUAAUAUCCUGGUCUUACUCAUAAACUUCUUCUAAAGCCAUCAAACCCUUAGCUACCCGGCUCCUUGAAGAAGUACUUUCCUGUUGGAGCGUAUGUUCUAUUGAUGGCUUUAUCCCAGAAAAUCAUGAUAUGCUUUGAGAAGUGUGAAAUACUUCCCUCGUGAUCCAAUAGACUCUUCGUGAUCCUCAUAGAAUCGAUUUCGUAACUUUCCAACUCUGGCUACCCUCAGAACUUAGUAAAAUCCAUCCGGUACUUCACGUCUCCAAUCCUUAGAAGUAUUUACCCAGCAAAACCCUAGUGAUUCCUUUGAGGAAACCGAAGUCGUCCAGGGUUGAAACUUCCAUGAGAGAACCGAUUGAGAUCGUAGAUUGAGAGAGAGUCAAUGUGCGAAACAAAGUCACGUCCUGAUAGUGAGAGAUCGAUAGAACGCCUAGUGUAAACCCGACCCCGCUUGAGAGCAUGAUCGUUCGAGUCAAAAAAUCCAUUCGUGUCUUAUUCUAAUUCAUGAUCUAUAUCUUAAUCUUUGAAUUUCGAGAUGAAAUUCCCUCUAAUGGGGGGAUAAUGUAACAACCUGAAGUUGUUCAUCGCCGAAAACCCAUUCUACCUGUAUAACUCGCCGUAUAUCGAAACGUUCCGACAUCGUUUUUGGGUUAAGUUAAUUAAACAUAUAUGUUUAAUUGAUGCUAAUGAGUGUCCAAACCUCUUAGGAACUCAUGAAUUUAGCUCAAAAUGUUUAAUUCAUAAAUUUAGAAAUGUCAUCGCCGGGUUACGGUAACUUAAUUAGGUGCGACCAAAAGCCCCGUUUAAUGCCGGUAUCGGGUAGAAUUCCACCGUGUCCAAGUUUUGCGACCUAUAUAAACGUGUUUAACCUUUCAUUUGAAGCUUUUUCUCUCUCUCACUACUCUCUCUCUAACCUCUCUCCUAAAUCGAAGUUUAAGGGUCCAAAACAAAAUUUUAAGGCCUCAAAUACCUAAGGUACCUUCCUAAACUUAAUGUAUAGCAUAUUUGACUUCCAAAUUUAGGAUUUAAUCAGGAAAUAAGGCCUUGAAUGUGAGUUUACGGCCUUGGUAGAAGCUUAGGCCGUAAACACAUAGUUAAGGGGUUUUUAAGCCCUAAAAC
RNAcentral lists this long non-coding RNA (6462 nucleotides) under Lactuca sativa (garden lettuce). RNAcentral describes it as "long non-coding RNA (LSAT_LNC005441)". Lineage: Eukaryota; Viridiplantae; Streptophyta; Magnoliopsida; Asterales; Asteraceae. The record is from RNAcentral.